The submitters of this non-coding RNA (91 nucleotides) gave its source as unclassified sequences. The record is from Rfam.
ACAGUACAAACUGAGCAGGCCAAAGGCGUUUACUGCCUUGGGAGCCGGGCCGCAGGCAGCGGCAGCAGACAGAAGCGUCUGUGGGACAGUG